RNAcentral lists this long non-coding RNA (433 nucleotides) under Helianthus annuus (common sunflower). The record is from RNAcentral. Lineage: Eukaryota; Viridiplantae; Streptophyta; Magnoliopsida; Asterales; Asteraceae.
AAAAUUAUAACCUAUAAAAGUAGAAGUGAAUCAGCAAAAUAUCAUAAUGAUACGCAAAGCAGGGCUGGAUUAAUUGCAAGGGUGAGAACGUCUUUACAAACACGUCGAGUAGCAAAUGCCUUGUGGAAUCUAGGAUGCAAGGUAUUGGCUCUUACACUACAAAGCCGGGUCAGCGAGUUUCUCAAACGGGGAGAGGAUAUUAGUGGAUCAAGGGACAAGCUUGGUUAUCGGAGAAAUUGUUGUCUUUGGACAUAGAGUUUCACUAAUGCUUGAAAUUUCGGAACAUAGAUAGCACUGAUGAUCCGGCCCGCCCAAUCCAAGGGAAAUCCACCGCCUUAAUAUACGUUAGCUUUGUUUGUCACGUUGUUCAUAGGUUUAUUCAUGUUGUUACUAUAUAAUACAUCAACGUAACCCGUCCACCGGACGGGUAUUA